This 90-nucleotide transfer RNA is filed under the name Candidatus Thiomargarita nelsonii. RNAcentral's name for it is "tRNA-Ser". It matches the Rfam family "tRNA". From Rfam's summary of the family: Transfer RNA (tRNA) molecules are approximately 80 nucleotides in length. Their secondary structure includes four short double-helical elements and three loops (D, anti-codon, and T loops). Lineage: Bacteria; Pseudomonadati; Pseudomonadota; Gammaproteobacteria; Thiotrichales; Thiotrichaceae. The record is from RNAcentral.
GGAGAGAUGGCCGAGUGGCUGAAGGCGCUCCCCUGCUAAGGGAGUAUAGGUUGACCCCUAUCGAGGGUUCGAAUCCCUCUCUCUCCGCCA